RNAcentral lists this ribosomal RNA (253 nucleotides) under uncultured bacterium. RNAcentral's name for it is "partial 16S ribosomal RNA". It matches the Rfam family "Bacterial small subunit ribosomal RNA", at positions 524 to 776 of the family's 1533-position model. The record is from RNAcentral.
UACGGAGGGUGCGAACGUUGUCCGGAAUCACUGGGCGUAAAGGGCGCGUAGGCGGGAUGGCAAGUCGGUCGUGAAAUCCUUCGGCUCAACCGAAGAACGUCGGCCGAUACUGCCGUUCUUGAGGGAUGCAGAGGAGAUUGGAAUUCCCGGUGUAGCGGUGAAAUGUGUAGAGAUCGGGAGGAACACCGGUGGCGAAGGCGGGUCUCUGGGCAUCUCCUGACGCUGAGGCGCGAAAGCGUGGGGAGCAAACGGG